RNAcentral lists this ribosomal RNA (251 nucleotides) under uncultured prokaryote. Its description in RNAcentral is "partial 16S rRNA". It matches the Rfam family "Bacterial small subunit ribosomal RNA", at positions 525 to 775 of the family's 1533-position model. The record is from RNAcentral.
ACGAGUGGUGCAAGCGUUAUUCGGAAUCAUUGGGCGUACAGGGCGUGUAGGUGGUAUGUUAAGUCUGUUGUUAAAGACUCUAGCCUAACUGGAGAAAGGCAAUGGAAACUGGUGUACUAGAGGGUGGAAGAGGGAGAUGGAAUUCUCGGUGUAGGGGUAAAAUGCGUAGAGAUCAGAAGGAACACCGAUGGCGAAGGCGACUUCCUGGACCAUUACUGACGCUGAGGUGCGAAAGCGUGGGGAGCAAACAG